GCAGCGUGGGGCCGCCGUCAAAAGCUCGCUCUUCGGCCGCGACCGCGUCUUCAUCCGCCAUCAUCCUCAGGGGACAGCGGGGCUCAGCAGACUUUGACUGGGCCAUUCUGACAGUGGAGAAAAACUUGGAUCUAAGCCUGUGUGGAUCAUAUCUCUGGCAGUACGGGGCUCCUGUCCAGCUGGAAUGGGGGGAAUCUCCUCCCCAGUCCAGGUCUUACAGCUCCACCAUCGACUUCCCACGAACUGUGACCUCCCCAGAGCAUGAUGCUGCCACCACAUUUCACAGCAGGGAUGUCGCGCAUGGUCACUUAUAUUUUGAGAGAUUAAAUUACAUAAAACGGGAUCAGUUGGACAAAUAUAUUUGCUGUUCUUUAUUAUUAUUUUUUAUUUAAAAGAGGUUUAAUAAACACAGGAAUGCCAAACUUUUCACAUUUUUGUUGGAAAUUCAUGAAUUGUUUUCCUUCCACUUCGCAAUAACCCGCUGCUUAAUUUCAGUCUGAAAGCUAAAUUCUGUGGUUCACACGGCAAGAAAGGAUACUUUCUUUAAUCAAAGACGUUUGGUAAAACAUUAUGCCGAGUAUUCCGCCAAUCAGCUGCUAGUUUACGUAUUUAAAAAACGGGACGUGAUUCUCACUGGCUCUCCCUCAUCAGGUGUGGGCGCCUUUAAAGUGCUUCUGCUUUGCAUCUUGGCGAGGUUCAUUUUCAGGGCAUCUCAACAGUAAAUAAACCAGGUGUCAGAUGGAGAAAAAAAAAAUUUAUUGGAUGAACAAGUGCUGUUACCAAAAAAAAAAAAAAAAAAAAGGGGGUGAGGUGGGGCUUACAACGAGCUUACCAUGUCCAAUGUUCAGAACGGGGCUGACGUCAGCAUACAGACGCUUUUACUGGAGAAGUACCACACAAACACGUACGGUUUGACCUUUAAUCGAUGGAGGAGAAAGAUCAACAAGAGUCACGCUACAGAGGAGAAAUAAUACAGAGGGGGUAGGUACUGAAAAAACCAUCUGAAGACAAAUACACCACAUGUUCUUUACAAUGGAUUAUAUGUACAUAUUAAACUUGUUUUAGGCAAAACAAACAAACAAACAAAAAAAAAAAGCUCUUUUUUUUUUCUGAGAAAACAUACACCAGUGAAACGUGAUCCGCCCUUUGUUAGUCUCAUAGUUUCUGUCUGCAUAUGUUUUAUACAAAAUAGACUUUCAAACAAUAUUUGGGUAGUGCAAUUUCUUAGAUUCAAGCUGGUCGAUUACUUUCACAAACAGUUUGUGUAUGAAAAAAGCCCAAGUCCUAUCCUAUUCACAGUAUCACACAAUUUGACCAAAGACUUGUUUAAAAAAAAAAAAAAAGAAAAAAGAAAAAAAUGGGGUUGUGGGACCCGCUGAAGAGAGCUGUACAUUUGUCAUCUGAGAGCUCUGGAGUUUACACUGACAUUAUGUGUAAUCUGUCGCCUUUGGUCACCUUGUACUCUAACAUUAAAUAGGCCGUUUGUGUGAGUGAUUACAAUUUCCUGAAUAUUUUCCCCCAAAAAAGAAAAUCUGGCCUGCAGAGAUAAAAGUUAGAAGUGAGAUCCCCUGUAUGAAAGUAGCUUAUACUGUGUUAAACAGGAUGGAAAAAAAAAAAAA
Poecilia reticulata (guppy) is the source of this 1619-nucleotide long non-coding RNA. RefSeq lists it as uncharacterized. The record is from RefSeq and is a predicted model, not a curated record. Lineage: Eukaryota; Metazoa; Chordata; Actinopteri; Cyprinodontiformes; Poeciliidae.